This is a non-coding RNA of Bactrocera latifrons, 65 nucleotides long. The record is from the annotation of a RefSeq genome assembly. Lineage: Eukaryota; Metazoa; Arthropoda; Insecta; Diptera; Tephritidae.
GUUUUAAUAGUUUAAUGAAAACAUUGGUCUUGUAAACCAAAAAUAAGAAACUAUCUUUUAAAACU